This 1097-nucleotide long non-coding RNA is filed under the name Carica papaya (papaya). Its description in RNAcentral is "long non-coding RNA (CPAP_LNC009930)". Lineage: Eukaryota; Viridiplantae; Streptophyta; Magnoliopsida; Brassicales; Caricaceae. The record is from RNAcentral.
CCUUCAAGAAUCACCUCAGUCCACCAUUAAAUUAGUUCAAACCCUUAUUGAAAAGAGGAAACCAACAAAAGAAAAUCUCAUCAAACUCAGUGGAAUUAAUAUAUAUAUAUAUAUGGCUGAUGAAUUUCAUACUUUUUUUCCUCCUCCUUAUAAAACAAUACUGUUGACCCCUCUCGAGUCCAUUACAACACUUAACAGGCAAAACCACGAAGCUCCUCCAUGUCAUCAUCUGCACUCUACACAGCCCUGACAACUAUUAACAAUUACACCGUCUUCUCCUUUUUAUUUCUGUGUUUAAUUUUCUCUUUUGAUUCACACUUCCAAACUUCAAACUUAACCACAUGAAUGAAAAGAAUCCAAGUCUAUUUUGUAGUUUACCCAACUUCCAUUACUUAUACCACACGUAGCUUGACAGCGAGCGCAAACAGCAACUCAGAUCGGUCCCCCUCCCCCAUCACCGUGCACUGUUCUGUAAUUAGAAGAUUUUAUAUUUUAAAGAAUUAAAAUGAGAAAAUAAAACAUGUAAUUAAUACGUUAAUUACCAAUAAUAAUAUACGUACAUGUGGGGUUAGAACUUAUGAGAAUAUCAUCUUCCUUCAAAGCUCACCUGGCCCACUCCUCUGGUUCCCACCAAUCCACCACAAAGAGGAGAGCUUGGAGAUCAGCCAACUGGCACCUCCCCAAUAAGCUCUCGCCAUGUCAGAUAAAUAAUGAUUACGUGUAUGAUGGAUGGGUACAAGUGGUCCAACCUCGUGGCAAGACACGUGGCCCAUGCAGUCAACCCAUGCAAUGGGAACCACCCCCCCCCAACAGUAUGAGUGCCACGAGGCAAAUACGUUGAAAAUAGCGCGGAAGAAAUGAAGGCGAUGAAACGCAUAAUUUCUUGCAGUAUAAGGAGAAGAAGAGGUUCUGUUUGAUCAAACAAUAGCCGUCCGAUUCAUCAUGUUUGCGAUGGACGGCGAUGAGUGGUCGAGGAGCCGCGAUACGUAGGAUACAAGGAUGUAUCACAAUAAACUUAUAUCUAGAAUAAUAAGAGGUGGGGUUUAAAGUAAUUUCCUGGAGACGUCAGAAUCGGUCUCCAUCCAAAUUGGAGCAUG